UACUUUCUUGGGGACAAGAAAGCUCUAAAGGGAGAGGAAUUGUUACGUAUCAAAGGAGGAAAUAUAGAAAGAAAUAGUAAGUAGUUAGGAAUGUUGGGAGUUAGUGAGGUAGUGAGUUAGCUUGGAGGUAUGUUUGGCGGGAAUUAGGAGGGAGGUGGCUACUAAAGUUGUUAAGCUGUAAAGUUGUUGAGCUGUUGCAAGCUGUUGUAACUUCUCUCAUUAGUAGCUUGGUUACUAAGCUGCUAUAUAAAGCU
RNAcentral lists this unclassified non-coding RNA (254 nucleotides) under Hevea brasiliensis (rubber tree). Lineage: Eukaryota; Viridiplantae; Streptophyta; Magnoliopsida; Malpighiales; Euphorbiaceae. The record is from RNAcentral.